UGGAGCUCCCUUUCCUCUCGUUUUAGUUCUAUUUUUUUUUUUUUAAAGAAAUUUCACAGGAGAAUAGAAACAACAUUUCUAGAAGACGGUAGUGUUUUAUUGUUACAUCCUUUAAGGAAGGACUUUAGACGCUUAGCCUAGAUUGACUCAACAUUAGACAUUCCCCUUCUCUCGGCAGGAAGGACAGGGACGCACGUUCUCAGCUUGACUUACGGAACCUUGACGAGAAGACUGGUUAUCAAGGCUGCUGGGCUGAGAAAGGUGGGUCAGAUGGAGAGGAAGACCAAGGAUGUCCCACCUCCAUAAUGGAAGUCUGAAUUUAAGCACUUUGGAAAAGCAACUUGAUAAGUGGAGAAAUGAAGCUUUGUGAAAGACAGCACCCAUCAUCGUGGAGCCAGGGAUUUGGGACCAAAAAUGUGAGAGAGGUCUAAAGAGGAGAAAAGGACAAUGGAGUGUAGAUGUAUUGGGAAAAUGAACAUUCAGGAUGGCCAUUGGUGUGAAAGAAAGAACUCUU
This 514-nucleotide long non-coding RNA is filed under the name Capra hircus (goat). RNAcentral describes it as "lncRNA (ENSCHIG00010017067.1)". Lineage: Eukaryota; Metazoa; Chordata; Mammalia; Artiodactyla; Bovidae. The record is from RNAcentral.